Molecule: microRNA precursor, 94 nt
Filed under: Pelobates cultripes (western spadefoot toad)
Lineage: Eukaryota; Metazoa; Chordata; Amphibia; Anura; Pelobatidae
Source: RNAcentral
AUCAACGUUUCAGUCCUCUCAGGGAUUUUCAUCAGCAUCAAAUAAAUAAUAGUUUAUUUGAUCCUGAUGAAUGUCUCUGAGAGGACUGAAACGU